RNAcentral lists this ribosomal RNA (433 nucleotides) under uncultured bacterium. RNAcentral's name for it is "partial 16S ribosomal RNA". It matches the Rfam family "Bacterial small subunit ribosomal RNA", at positions 29 to 507 of the family's 1533-position model. The record is from RNAcentral.
AACGAACGCUGGCGGCAGGCCUAACACAUGCAAGUCGAGCGCGCCCUUCGGGGUGAGCGGCGGACGGGUGAGUAACGCGUGGGAACGUGCCCUUUUCUACGGAAUAGCCCCGGUAAACGGAGAGUAAUACCGUAUACGCUCCUUUGGGGACAGGUUUAACGUAAAAGGAUCGGCCCGGGUUGGAUUAGCUGGUUGGUGGGGUAAUGGCCUACCAAGCCGACGAUCCAUAGCUGGUUUGAGAGGAUGAUCAGCCACACUGGGACUGGGACCCGGCCCAGACUACUACGGGAGGUAGGAGAGGGGAAUCUUGGACAAUGGGGGCAACCAUGAUCUAGCCAUGCCGCGUGAGUGAUGAAGGCGUUAGAGUUGUAAAGCUCUUUCAGCUGGGAAGAUAAUGACGGUACCAGCAGAAGAAGCCCCGGCUAACUCCGUG